Molecule: ribosomal RNA, 363 nt
Filed under: uncultured organism
Description: partial 16S ribosomal RNA
Rfam family: Bacterial small subunit ribosomal RNA
Source: RNAcentral
GUAGGGGGGCUAGCGUUGUCCGGAAUCACUGGGCGUAAAGGGUUCGCAGGCGGAAAUGCAAGUCAGAUGUAAAAGGCAGUAGCUUAACUACUGUAAGCAUUUGAAACUGCAUAUCUUGAGAAGAGUAGAGGUAAGUGGAAUUUUUAGUGUAGCGGUGAAAUGCGUAGAUAUUAAAAACGAAUACCGGUGGCGAAGGCGACUUACUGGGCUCAUUCUGACGCUGAGGAACGAAAGCGUGGGUAGCAAACAGGGAUUAGAUACCCUGGUAGUCCACGCUGUAAACGAUGAGUGCUAGGUGUCGGCGAAUGUCGGUGCCGCAGUUAACACAUAAGCACUCCGCCUGGGGAUACGUGCGCAAGCAUG